Molecule: long non-coding RNA, 373 nt
Filed under: Physcomitrium patens
Lineage: Eukaryota; Viridiplantae; Streptophyta; Bryopsida; Funariales; Funariaceae
Description: long non-coding RNA (PPAT_LNC002461)
Source: RNAcentral
UGAAGAUUAAAUACGAUAGAACAAAAUUAUUUGAUCAUAGAAUGCAAGGCCUUGCGAUGGUCUAUGCUAUGAUAAAAAUACAAGGACUAUUUGGUUGGGAACAAAUUUUAAUUUAUUUUUGAUCAUCUUAAGUUACUUCACCUAGUAAAUUAAUCCAUGAUUACUAGAUGCAUUGCCUAAAAGAUAAUAUUGCUCAUGGAAUAUGACUUCAAAGUUAUUCAUAUCAACUAGAAAUAAAACAUAAUUGCCUAUUAUCUCUCAAAAGCUUCCAAUAUGACAUUAGACUUGGAUAUUGACAAAUUGUUCCUUCAUCUAUACUUAUGUAGUGCUAUUAUGUAUGUAACCUUGUUCUUAAAUGAUUAGAUGCACAAUA